Ornithodoros turicata is the source of this 944-nucleotide long non-coding RNA. RefSeq lists it as uncharacterized. The transcript is spliced from 2 exons. The record is from RefSeq and is a predicted model, not a curated record. NCBI's taxonomy places the organism in Eukaryota, Metazoa, Arthropoda, Arachnida, Ixodida, Argasidae.
UAGUGUACGUGUCCGAUGAUAGUGAGCGUCUUUUCACUCUGUUCAAGUGUUCGUUUUCCUCUGUUGCCCAACAGUCGUGCGAAUUUGUCCUGACGUGUCCUGACAUGCCCCGAUAUGCAUGGUUUCCUUUGUUAACGCUUUGUAUUUUGUCUUUUUUGACAAGGAACAUUGUCGUCUUGACGAUAGUGCUGCCCUGAGUUCUGCGCGCGUUGAUUUGUUGAGUGCCUAGUCCUCUUAUUAGCCGUUGAUGGGUUUACAUGUUGGGAUAUUUUGUUCUUUUGCAAGUCUCAUUUAGUAAGACUUUGGAAUUCCUACGAUCAGCUUUCAUGCAUGGUGCUCUUCUGCAAUAGUUUCCUAUGCAAUCGUUAUAGAAUAAUAAAGGAAAUAACCUUGGGAUAGUGAUUCAAUAAAUAAUAGGUCCCCUGUCUAGAGCGCACGCGUCCUUGAGCCACGCAGGUGCAUGAGGACGUCAUACCGUGGCUUCACUGCAGAUUGACCUUGUCUAGAGGAGCAUUAGUGGAAAAAAAACAGUGUAGCCCUGAGACAAUAGGAUGAUGUCUGGACCAAUGAGAACGGCCAGCAGGGGGCGCAGGAAUGCUCUUCUCUCUUAGCCUCUCGCAGGUGGCGGUAGGAGCGCGCAGAGGGCGCUACGAGCGCGCGCAUGCGUAGCACCCGUAGAGUGGCGCUUACGUCAGUCCACCUCUGGCUCUCGUUGGGAGAAGACGUGCGGUCGUUCGCUCCGUCGUCACUUGAUCCCUGGCUGUCGACGAGAGCGGACGCUCCGUCGCAGCGGGGAAAAAGAGCUACGAUGCUGGCGCCAUCUGGUGUGAUGCCUUGGAACUAGCGUGCCACCUGCCUCUGCAACCGUCGUGCUCCAGUCGCCCCGGCGUGAUUUCUUCAAGAUGGCGUCGUUGAUUUUCAAAUAAAUCAUUUCCUACUGUCUG